AUCAUCGCAUCCUGAUUUGUCCCCUUCUUCCCCUGCUGCGUGAACAGCGACGCGACCCCGCUAGCCCCAUUCAGAAACAUCCUCCCCGGAAUCCGAUGCAGCUGCUCGUCGCGCCGCGAAUCAUGCCGCGGCGACGGCGCAGACCGCCGCCGCCCCCCCUUGCGCGGCCGCUUAGCGGGAGAGGAGGGGGAGGCAGGAGUGGCGCCUCCGCUCCGGCCUCCCCCGGCCCCGUCGGAUGAGAGGCAAGACCCCAUCCGCAGGGCCCUGAGGAGGUCCAGUAGGCACUCCAGACCAGCCAGGCAGCCGAAUCUCGCCGGCGACUCCGUCGAUCUCGCCGCUCCGCCGCCCGCCGCCACCGGAACCCCG
Molecule: unclassified non-coding RNA, 366 nt
Filed under: Hevea brasiliensis (rubber tree)
Lineage: Eukaryota; Viridiplantae; Streptophyta; Magnoliopsida; Malpighiales; Euphorbiaceae
Source: RNAcentral